Molecule: long non-coding RNA, 432 nt
Filed under: Drosophila guanche
Lineage: Eukaryota; Metazoa; Arthropoda; Insecta; Diptera; Drosophilidae
Source: RNAcentral
CAUAUUUAUUCAGUAAAUAUUUUCUAAAUAGAAGCAACACUCCCCAACAGCUCUCAGGGGCAAGGCUGCGGUUGUAUGACUAAUUAAAUGGAACUUGCAAAACGUUGAAAAAGGCGAAAUCAAAGUGAAAUGUGCAUCACUCGUAGACGAUUUUGACUGCCAAGAUGCAUGACCCUAAAAAACGGGCAGAAGCAAUAGCAGAUCUCUGGAAUAGAAUGCAAUAUCAACGGGAAAAAGACGGAUAUCCACCGACCACUUAUAAGUCUAAGAUUGCUGGUAGCACCGCUGAUAGUGUAAGUAGAGCUGCUCCAACUACUGAUGAUACUACAGCUCCUGCUGUUGCUACGACAGUUGCUGCUCCUGACACUUCCACAGCUGCUCCAUAGUUGAAGAUGAUCCGAUCUGCAGAACAUAACCUAACCAAAUAAAUGC